RNAcentral lists this ribosomal RNA (378 nucleotides) under uncultured bacterium. RNAcentral's name for it is "bacterial SSU rRNA". It matches the Rfam family "Bacterial small subunit ribosomal RNA", at positions 30 to 410 of the family's 1533-position model. The record is from RNAcentral.
AUUGAACGCUGGCGGAAUGCUUUACACAUGCAAGUCGAACGGCAGCACGGGGCAACCUGGUGGCGAGUGGCGAACGGGUGAGCAAUACAUCGGAACGUGCCCAAUCGUGGGGGAUAACGUAGCGAAAGUUACGCUAAUACCGCAUACGAUCUACGGAUGAAAGCGGGGGAUCGCAAGACCUCGCGCGAGUGGAGCGGCCGAUGUCAGAUUAGGUAGUUGGUGGGGUAAAGGCUCACCAAGCCAACGAUCUGUAGCUGGUCUGAGAGGACGACCAGCCACACUGGAACUGAGACACGGUCCAGACUCCUACGGGAGGCAGCAGUGGGGAAUUUUGGACAAUGGGCGCAAGCCUGAUCCAGCCAUUCCGCGUGCAGGAUG